UGGCGGCAGGCUUAACACAUGCAAGUCGAGCGGUAGCAGAUCUAGCUUGCUAGAUGCUGACGAGCGGCGGACGGGUGAGUAACGCGUAGGAACCUGCCCAGUAGUGGGGGAUAGCCCGGGGAAACUCGGAUUAAUACCGCAUACGCUCUACGGAGGAAAGAGGGGGCUUCGGCUCUCGCUAUUGGAUGGGCCUGCGUGAGAUUAGCUAGUUGGUGAGGUAAUGGCUCACCAAGGCGACGAUCUCUAGCUGGUCUGAGAGGAUGAUCAGCCACACUGGGACUGAGACACGGCCCAGACUCCUACGGGAGGCAGCAGUGGGGAAUAUUGCACAAUGGGCGCAAGCCUGAUGCAGCCAUGCCGCGUGUGUGAAGAAGGCUUUCGGGUUGUAAAGACACUUUCUAGUGGGAGGAAGGCCUCGUAGUUAAUAGCUGCGAGGAGUUGACGUUACCCACAGAAGAAGCACCGGCUAACUCCGUG
Molecule: ribosomal RNA, 477 nt
Filed under: uncultured bacterium
Lineage: Bacteria
Description: bacterial SSU rRNA
Rfam family: Bacterial small subunit ribosomal RNA
Source: RNAcentral